AGCCUACGGGACGCAGCAGUGGGGAAUAUUGCGCAAUGGGCGAAAGCCUGACGCAGCGACGCCGCGUGAGGGAUAAAGGUCUUCGGAUCGUAAACCUCUGUCAGCAGGGAAGAACGGUCACUGUGCUAAUCAGCAGUGAAUCGACGGUACCUGCAAAGGAAGCACCGGCUAACUCCGUGCCAGCAGCCGCGGUAAUACGGAGGGUGCGAGCGUUAAUCGGAUUUAUUGGGUUUAAAGGGUGCGUAGGCGGAAUGCCAAGUCAGCGGUAAAAUCGCGGGGCUCAACCUCGCUCCGCCGUUGAAACG
RNAcentral lists this ribosomal RNA (305 nucleotides) under uncultured bacterium. RNAcentral describes it as "bacterial SSU rRNA". It matches the Rfam family "Bacterial small subunit ribosomal RNA", at positions 335 to 634 of the family's 1533-position model. The record is from RNAcentral.